GCGAACGCUGGCGGCAAGCUUAACACAUGCAAGUCGAACGGGUGUAGCAAUACAUUAGUGGCGGACGGGUGCGUAACACGUGGGAAUCUACCUUUAGGUAAGGAAUAACUCAGGGAAACUUGUGCUAAAACCUUAUAAUGUCUUCGGACCAAAUAUUUAUAGCCUAGAGAUGAGCCCGCGGUAGAUUAGCUAGUUGGUGGGGUAAUGGCCUACCAAGGCAACGAUCUAUAGCUGGUCUUAGAGGAUGAUCAGCCACACUGGGACUGAGACACGGCCCAGACUCCUACGGGAGGCAGCAGUGGGGAAUAUUGGGCAAUGGACGAAAGUCUGACCCAGCUAUGCCGCGUGAAUGAUGAAGGCCUUAGGGUUGUAAAGUUCUUUUACCGGGGAAGAUAAUGACGGUACCCGGAGAAAAAGCUCCGGCUAACUUCGU
Molecule: ribosomal RNA, 433 nt
Filed under: uncultured bacterium
Lineage: Bacteria
Description: bacterial SSU rRNA
Rfam family: Bacterial small subunit ribosomal RNA
Source: RNAcentral